RNAcentral lists this ribosomal RNA (305 nucleotides) under uncultured bacterium. RNAcentral's name for it is "bacterial SSU rRNA". It matches the Rfam family "Bacterial small subunit ribosomal RNA", at positions 338 to 660 of the family's 1533-position model. The record is from RNAcentral.
CCUACGGGGGGCAGCAGUGGGGGAUAUUGCACAAUGGGGGGAACCCUGAUGCAGCGACGCCGCGUGAACGAAGAAAUAUUUCGGUAUGUAAAGUUCUAUCAGCAGGGAAGAAAAUGACAGUACCUGACCAAGAAGCCCCGGCUAACUACGUGCCAGCAGCCGCGGUAAUACGUAGGGGGCGAGCGUUAUCCGGAUUCACUGGGCGUAAAGGGAGCGCAGGCGGCACGGCAAGUCCGGUGUGAAAGCCCGGGGCCCAACCCCGGGACUGCACUGGAAACUGCCGGGCUGGAGUGUCGGAGGGGCAG